Molecule: ribosomal RNA, 253 nt
Filed under: uncultured bacterium
Lineage: Bacteria
Description: partial 16S ribosomal RNA
Rfam family: Bacterial small subunit ribosomal RNA
Source: RNAcentral
UACGAAGGGGGCUAGCGUUGCUCGGAAUCGCUGGGCGUAAAGGGCGCGUAGGCGGACUCUUAAGUCGGGGGUGAAAGCCCAGGGCUCAACCCUGGAAUUGCCUUCGAUACUGAGAGUCUUGAGUUCGGAAGAGGUUGGUGGAACUGCGAGUGUAGAGGUGAAAUUCGUAGAUAUUCGCAAGAACACCAGUGGCGAAGGCGGCCAACUGGUCCGAUACUGACGCUGAGGCGCGAAAGCGUGGGGAGCAAACAGG